This is a long non-coding RNA of Lolium rigidum, 408 nucleotides long. RefSeq lists it as uncharacterized. The record is from RefSeq and is a predicted model, not a curated record. The transcript has 4 exons. NCBI's taxonomy places the organism in Eukaryota, Viridiplantae, Streptophyta, Magnoliopsida, Poales, Poaceae.
GGCUGGCCCUGGAUGCGGUCAAGAAACCUGCAGCGGCGGCGCCCAUCGACCAUCAGCACAGCGGCAGGCUUUGAAGGAUCUGCAAUGAGCUCGAGUAGGGAUUGUUCCGUUCAUCUUUGGUGACUGUGCCUACCUGCAGCAUCCUCUGUAUUUCUAUCAAUGGAUGAUUUUCAGAAUAUAGGUCCUGGAGCGCGUCCGCGAGAUGGGCGGCGGCGUGGAGGAUGACUGGCGAGCGCGAUGGAGGCGGACGAGACGAUGGUGGUGGCGGGCGAGAGGAGGCACUGCUGGAGCGCGUCCUGUGGAGGGUGGCGACGGCCAGUCUUUGCACAAGCUAGAGUUUGGAUGUCUAGGGAUUCACCGAGAGCGACAACAACCACCAUUGGCCUUCGUGGACUCCAUUGCUGCCCC